UACGGAGGGUGCAAACGUUGCUCGGAAUCAUUGGGCGUAAAGUGAACGUAGGCGGCUAUGUAAGUCGGGUGUGAAAGCCCUCGGCUCAACCGAGGAAGUGCAUUCGAAACUGCAUGGCUUGAGUAUCGGAGAGGAUAGCGGAAUUCCCGGUGUAGAGGUGAAAUUCGUAGAUAUCGGGAGGAACACCAGUGGCGAAGGCGGCUAUCUGGACGAAUACUGACGCUGAAGUUCGAAAGCGUGGGGAGCAAACAGG
RNAcentral lists this ribosomal RNA (253 nucleotides) under uncultured bacterium. RNAcentral describes it as "partial 16S ribosomal RNA". It matches the Rfam family "Bacterial small subunit ribosomal RNA", at positions 524 to 776 of the family's 1533-position model. The record is from RNAcentral.